RNAcentral lists this ribosomal RNA (386 nucleotides) under uncultured bacterium. Its description in RNAcentral is "bacterial SSU rRNA". It matches the Rfam family "Bacterial small subunit ribosomal RNA", at positions 104 to 489 of the family's 1533-position model. The record is from RNAcentral.
GGGUGCGUAACGCGUAUGCAACCUACCCAUAACAGGGGGAUAACACUGAGAAAUUGGUACUAAUACCCCAUAACAUCAGGACCGGCAUCGGUUCUGGUUGAAAACUCCGGUGGUUAUGGAUGGGCAUGCGUUGUAUUAGCUGGUUGGUGAGGUAACGGCUCACCAAGGCAACGAUACAUAGGGGGACUGAGAGGUUAACCCCCCACAUUGGUACUGAGACACGGACCAAACUCCUACGGGAGGCAGCAGUGAGGAAUAUUGGUCAAUGGACGCAAGUCUGAACCAGCCAUGCCGCGUGCAGGAAGACGGCUCUAUGAGUUGUAAACUGCUUUUGUACGAGGGUAAACGCUCUUACGUGUAAGAGCCUGAAAGUAUCGUACGAAUAA